Brienomyrus brachyistius is the source of this 348-nucleotide long non-coding RNA. RefSeq lists it as uncharacterized. The transcript is spliced from 2 exons. Lineage: Eukaryota; Metazoa; Chordata; Actinopteri; Osteoglossiformes; Mormyridae. The record is from RefSeq and is a predicted model, not a curated record.
AAUAAUAUCAUUGUUAUUAUUAUUACAUUUUUGUUUGGGGGUUAGGUUUAUGUAGGGGGGACCUUUGCAGGUCACCCUUCGGUUUUGUCCUCUCCUAUGUUAACUGACCUCCUCUCCCCGCUGCAUAAGUGUGCUGUAUAUAAGGGUGCUGUGCCACUGUGUGAUUAGUUGUAGUGGAUAUUGGGGGAGGUGUGUGAGUGCUGUGGGGUUGUUUUGGAGUAGUAUUGGGGAAGGAGAAAUAACACUUGUAGUGGUAGUGUGAUUUACCUGUUGGUGGGAGGGAGGUGGUUGUUGCCUGGGAGUUUGGAGUAUCUGUAACCGAGCCCCAAAUAAAUCUGUGCCAGCUCA